Non-coding RNA from Pelobates cultripes (western spadefoot toad), 294 nucleotides. NCBI's taxonomy places the organism in Eukaryota, Metazoa, Chordata, Amphibia, Anura, Pelobatidae. The record is from the annotation of a GenBank genome assembly.
GUUCCAACUAAGCUUUGGUCUACGGGGCCAGAUGACAUUGGACGCCUACGAGUCCCACCUGUGGUGGUUACACUAAUUAAAGGAGCUAAUCCACCAUGAAGACCAUAGUACCCAUUGAAACCUGCACAAGCUCUCGCCAUCUCCAAACAAGUUGAUAGCCUGUUGGCAAAAGGUGCACUAGUCAAGUGUGUAUCUCAGUGUAACACCCCUCUGUUUCCAGUAAAGAAGAAAACUGAAAAAGGUCAACCAGACCAAUACCGUAUGGUCCAGGACCUCCGCGCUGUUAAUGAGGUC